AACGAACGCUGGCGGCAUGCCUAACACAUGCAAGUCGAACGGGAUCCUAGCUUGCUAGGUGAGAGUGGCGGACGGGUGAGUAACACGUGGGAAUCUGCCUUUUGGUUCGGGAUAACCGCGGGAAACUGCGGCUAAUACCGAAUGCCCUCGAGAGAGGAAAGAUUUAUCGCCAGAAGAGGAGCCCGCGUCCGAUUAGGUAGUUGGUGGGGUAAAGGCCUACCAAGCCGACGAUCGGUAGCUGGUCUGAGAGGAUGAUCAGCCACACUGGGACUGAGAUACGGCCCAGACUCCUACGGGAGGCAGCAGUGGGGAAUAGUUGGACAAUGGGGGCAACCCUGAUCCAGCAAUGCCGCGUGAGUGAUGAAGGCCUUAGGGUUGUAAAGCUCUUUGCCAGGGAAGAUGAUGACUGUACCUGGAGAAGUAAGCCCCGGCUAACUUCGUGCCAGCAGACCACGGUAA
This 459-nucleotide ribosomal RNA is filed under the name uncultured bacterium. RNAcentral's name for it is "bacterial SSU rRNA". It matches the Rfam family "Bacterial small subunit ribosomal RNA", at positions 29 to 523 of the family's 1533-position model. The record is from RNAcentral.